CUUGCUUCUCUUGAGAGCGGCGGACGGGUGAGUAAUACCUAGGAAUCUGCCUGGUAGUGGGGGAUAACGUCCGGAAACGGACGCUAAUACCGCAUACGUCCUACGGGAGAAAGCAGGGGACCUUCGGGCCUUGCGCUAUCAGAUGAGCCUAGGUCGGAUUAGCUAGUUGGUGGGGUAAUGGCUCACCAAGGCGACGAUCCGUAACUGGUCUGAGAGGAUGAUCAGUCACACUGGAACUGAGACACGGUCCAGACUCCUACGGGAGGCAGCAGUGGGGAAUAUUGGACAAUGGGCGAAAGCCUGAUCCAGCCAUGCCGCGUGUGUGAAGAAGGUCUUCGGAUUGUAAAGCACUUUAAGUUGGGAGGAAGGGCAGUAAAUUAAUACUUUGCUGUUUUGACGUUACCGACAGAAUAAGCACCGGCUAACUCUGUGCCAGCAGCCGCGGUAAUACAGAGGGUGCAAGCGUUAAUCGGAAUUACUGGGCGUAAAGCGCGCGUAGGUGGUUCGUUAAGUUGGAUGUGAAAUCCCCGGGCUCAACCUGGGAACUGCAUUCAAAACUGACGAGCUAGAGUAUGGUAGAGGGUGGUGGAAUUUCCUGUGUAGCGGUGAAAUGCGUAGAUAUAGGAAGGAACACCAGUGGCGAAAGCGACCACCUGGACUGAUACUGACACUGAGUGCGAAAGCGUGGGGAGCAAACAGGAUUAGAUACCCU
Molecule: ribosomal RNA, 712 nt
Filed under: uncultured bacterium
Lineage: Bacteria
Description: bacterial SSU rRNA
Rfam family: Bacterial small subunit ribosomal RNA
Source: RNAcentral